AUAUUGGGCCGAAAUUUUGGGCCCGCUCUCUAGGGCCUUGGGGCGGAAAGGUAGUUGCUUAGGAGACGUGAGACGAUUAGGUUUUGUCUCUUAGCUCUUUCGUCGCCGGCGAGACCGGAAAGAGAAGAAAGGUGGGUGACGGGACAUCUAGUAAGUUUGAUCAGAUUUGUUUCUUCUGCCGCAGCGACUGGUAACCGAGCUGCGUUUAGAGUUACAGCUAUCGAUCUGGAUCAUUUCAGCUAUGUUUUAUUCAUUGUGCUUGAUCCAAUAAGUCCACUGGAAUUGGUACUAAAGCAUGAUUGGAUGAAGAGGUGUUUUUUGAUUGGAGGGUUCUUCUAAAGUUGCAUCAUCAAGGACUAUUAUCCUUUCGAGCUCUUACAAAUGUCGUAUAUGCAGUCUUUCCUAGAGUUGAGGUUUGAUUGUCCAUUAAAGCUAAGGUUGUCAUGCUUGGACCUAUAUCAGGUUUAUGCCUCUCAUAUCUUGCGUAAGUGGAGGUGGGUUUUUUGUGUUUGCUCUUAUCAAUCCGAUAUAAGUAUUGACAAGCAAUGAUGAAUAUAAGAUAAAACAAUGCAAUAAAUAUAAUGCAGUAGGACAAUAUAAUAAACAAGUCAAAAGGCUAGUAAAAUAGGAUGCUAAUGAUAAUAUACUUUUUGAUGGAUGACACUCAAACUAAAUAAGAAACUAGUGAUGUGAUCAUAUUUUUGUGUUUUUUUUUUCUAUUGGAGAUUUUGAUAGACAGUUGGAGCAGGUGAAAGAGAAAUGCAUAAUUACGAAAUGGUGAUAAAGAGAUGGAGGUCAGCUACUAUAAACUAAAGCAUGUGAGAUGGUGAUGUUCUAGUACUGUCUUUAAUGACGAAAUGAGGAAUACUAUGCUAUGGCAGUCAGGUUACAUAUAUUCAAAUCUUCCCUCUUUAGUAUUAUCUUCUCUUCAGUUUCUUGUUGUGUACUAUAAUUUUUUGGUCAAUGCAACUAUUCGUGGUUGGAUGGAAAGUAAUUCACGGUUUCAAAGAGAAGAGAAAUAUUGAAGCUCAUUGAAUCAGAUAUAAAGAGAGGGUCAACAAGUGACCAUGUUAAGUUAUUAAAUUAAGAGUUCCAAUGCUGUUGUGUAAUCAUGAUUACUAACUAGGGGAGUAAUGAUAUCUAACCAAAAUGUGAUAGAAUCUGGUUGACAUCUCUUUCCAACUUUCAACUUAUUCUUUCAAUAUAGUCCUACUUGGUAUGGCAUGUAAUCAAAUUUAUAUGACAUGAUUGCUAUGUGUUCUUCCAAAUUUUUUCCUUUUAGAUUAUUAAUUACUUUGUACUGUUCAAUUUAUGCGUUGAAUUAUAUGAAUUAAAAUGAUUGUGGUUUUGGUUGGCAGGACACUGAUGUGCAUAGAAUACUUUUAUGUAUACUUUGACACAUAUUCACUUGUUUUCUUCGAGUAUGUUUUAUGUUAUUACACUCUUUUUUAUCAUAUUUUCAGCAUAAUUACUCUCUUUGUCAGAAGUCUGCUCGUGCUUGUUUUGUUCUUCACAGGAUGUAUUUUCGAAGUGAAAACAAAGUUAAGGCGUGCUUCGGAGCAGCCCUAGAAGAAGGGCAGAGCCUAGUUGUGGCCCCUGGAACAACCGUGCCUCAUCCUCGAGAGCAAGCAAGUCACGUUCGUGCCCCCGACACAUUUUCUUGCCCCUUCACCAGAAUCUAUCCUAGGUCAGGCCAUGUCCUCCGAACAGAGUUCAGUCAAGGCCAUGCCAUGUGGUUUCACAUGGCCAUAUCUCUUGACCAGAGACCAAUCAAGCUUAGGCCGUGUGAAAGCACACGAUCGUGUGCUUCUUCCAGAGCUGCUUCAAGCCCAACCGUGCCAAAAGGCACGGCCGUGACACGACCCAUGUCUGGGGCCGUGUCUUGCCCUAUAAAAGGGGUCUUCUUCCCCAUUUCAAAGGGAGGAAGGUCUCCCCUUUGGGAGGACCAAUCUUGGUCUAGAUCCGCUGAUUCUUCGCACUCCGAUUGACGAUCUGAAGCCGCUUCAACCCUCUCCUUCAUCUUCGGAAGCAUAGGAUUAGAUCCGAAGACCUCUCGUCGCCUUGGCUAAGCAUUUCCCCCUCUUCUUCUUAGAUUGGGUUUUAAGCUUGCAAUUUCUAUGUUUUUGGAUUCAUUUGUUAUAGAGUAGAUUCAUUUGUUUUGGGAUUAAGGGAGUAGUUGUGAUGUGUAAUUGAUGUAUACUCUUUGAAUUUGUCAAUUUCCUAUUCGUAUGACAUGUAUAUGCCUUGUAUCUA
Zingiber officinale is the source of this 2253-nucleotide long non-coding RNA. RefSeq lists it as uncharacterized. NCBI's taxonomy places the organism in Eukaryota, Viridiplantae, Streptophyta, Magnoliopsida, Zingiberales, Zingiberaceae. The transcript is spliced from 4 exons. The record is from RefSeq and is a predicted model, not a curated record.